GAUGAACGCUGGCGGCGGGCCUAAUACAUGCAAGUCGAGCGGACAGACGAGGAGCUUGCUCCCCUGACGUUAGCGGCGGACGGGUGAGUAACACGUGGAUAACCUACCUAUAAGACUGGGAUAACUUCGGGAAACCGGAGCUAAUACCGGAUAAUAUAUUGAACCGCAUGGUUCAAUAGUGAAAGACGGUUUUGCUGUCACUUAUAGAUGGAUCCGCGCCGCAUUAGCUAGUUGGUAAGGUAACGGCUUACCAAGGCAACGAUGCGUAGCCGACCUGAGAGGGUGAUCGGCCACACUGGAACUGAGACACGGUCCAGACUCCUACGGGAGGCAGCAGUAGGGAAUCUUCCGCAAUGGGCGAAAGCCUGACGGAGCAACGCCGCGUGAGUGAUGAAGGUCUUCGGAUCGUAAAACUCUGUUAUUAGGGAAGAACAAAUGUGUAAGUAACUAUGCACGUCUUGACGGUACCUAAUCAGAAAGCCACGGCUAACUACGUG
RNAcentral lists this ribosomal RNA (497 nucleotides) under uncultured bacterium. RNAcentral describes it as "partial 16S ribosomal RNA". It matches the Rfam family "Bacterial small subunit ribosomal RNA", at positions 28 to 507 of the family's 1533-position model. The record is from RNAcentral.